RNAcentral lists this ribosomal RNA (524 nucleotides) under uncultured bacterium. RNAcentral describes it as "partial 16S ribosomal RNA". It matches the Rfam family "Bacterial small subunit ribosomal RNA", at positions 28 to 523 of the family's 1533-position model. The record is from RNAcentral.
GACGAACGCUGGCGGCGUGCCUAAUACAUGCAGGUCGAGCGCAGGAAACUGACGGAACUCUUCGGAGGGAAGGCAGUGGAAUGAGCGGCGGACGGGUGAGUAACACGUAAGGAACCUGCCUCAAGGAUUGGGAUAACUCCGAGAAAUCAGAGCUAAUACCGGAUAGUUCAACGGACCGCAUGGUCCGCUGAUGAAAGGCGCUCCGGCGUCACCUUGAGAUGGCCUUGCGGUGCAUUAGCUAGUUGGUGGGGUAACGGCCCACCAAGGCGACGGUGCAUAGCCGACCUGAGAGGGUGACCGGCCGCACUGGGACUGAGACACGGCCCAGACUCCUACGGGAGGCAGAAGUAGGGAAUCUUCCACAAUGGACGAAAGUAUGAUGGAGCAACGCCGCGUGAGUGAUGAAGGUUUUCGGAUCGUAAAACUCUGUUGUAAGGGAAGAACACGUACGAGAGGGAAUGCUCGUACCUUGACGGUACCUUACGAGAAAGCCACGGCUAACUACGUGCCAGCAGCCGCCGUAA